GAUGAACGCUAGCGGGAGGCUUAACACAUGCAAGUCGAGGGGCAUCACGGGUAGCAAUACCUGGUGGCGACCGGCAGACGGGUGAGUAACGCGUAUGUAACCUACCCUGUACAGGGGGAUAACCCGGAGAAAUUCGGACUAAUAUCCCAUAAUGAUAUCUGGGGGCAUCUUCGGAUAUUUAAAGUUCCGGCGGUACAGGAUGGGCAUGCGUAACAUUAGCUAGUUGGUAAGGUAACGGCUUACCAAGGCUUUGAUGUUUAGGGGUCCUGAGAGGGUGGUCCCCCACACUGGUACUGAGACACGGACCAGACUCCUACGGGAGGCAGCAGUGAGGAAUAUUGGUCAAUGGGCGCAAGCCUGAACCAGCCAUCCCGCGUGCAGGAAGACGGCCCUAUGGGUUGUAAACUGCUUUUGUGCGAGAAUAAUAUGCCUUACGAGUAGGGUAAUGAAGGUAUCGUACGAAUAAGCAUCGGCUAACUCCGUGCCAGCAGCCG
Molecule: ribosomal RNA, 494 nt
Filed under: uncultured bacterium
Lineage: Bacteria
Description: bacterial SSU rRNA
Rfam family: Bacterial small subunit ribosomal RNA
Source: RNAcentral